RNAcentral lists this ribosomal RNA (254 nucleotides) under uncultured bacterium. RNAcentral describes it as "partial 16S ribosomal RNA". It matches the Rfam family "Bacterial small subunit ribosomal RNA", at positions 524 to 776 of the family's 1533-position model. The record is from RNAcentral.
UACGUAGGGUGCAAGCGUUAAUCGGAAUUACUGGGCGUAAAGCGUGCGCAGGCGGUUGUGCAAGUCAGAUGUGAAAUCCCCGGGCUUAACCUGGGAAUUGCAUUUGAGACUGCACGGCUAGAGUGUGUCAGAGGGGGGUAGAAUUCCACGUGUAGCAGUGAAAUGCGUAGAUAUGUGGAGGAAUACCGAUGGCGAAGGCAGCCCCCCUGGGAUAACACUGACGCUCAUGCACGAAAGCGUGGGGAGCAAACAGG